Burkholderia thailandensis E264 is the source of this 101-nucleotide non-coding RNA. The record is from Rfam. NCBI's taxonomy places the organism in Bacteria, Pseudomonadati, Pseudomonadota, Betaproteobacteria, Burkholderiales, Burkholderiaceae.
UACCCCCUGCGUGACUGGCGAUACGACCUUUCGGGGUCAAGGUGGAGCAUCCCACCGUGAAGCGCGGGGCGUCGCUUUUGCCGUUCGCCUGGGCAGCCGUU